ACUUUCAACAACGGAUCUCUUGGUUCUCGCAUCGAUGAAGAACGCAGCGAAUUGCGAUAAGUAAUGUGAAUUGCAGAAUUCAGUGAAUCAUCGAAUCUUUGAACGCACAUUGCGCCCUCUGGCAUUCCGGAGGGCAUGCCUGUUUGAGCGU
RNAcentral lists this ribosomal RNA (151 nucleotides) under Balsamia latispora. RNAcentral describes it as "5.8S ribosomal RNA". It matches the Rfam family "5.8S ribosomal RNA". Rfam says of the family: 5.8S ribosomal RNA (5.8S rRNA) is a component of the large subunit of the eukaryotic ribosome. Lineage: Eukaryota; Fungi; Ascomycota; Pezizomycetes; Pezizales; Helvellaceae. The record is from RNAcentral.